This 253-nucleotide ribosomal RNA is filed under the name uncultured bacterium. RNAcentral's name for it is "partial 16S ribosomal RNA". It matches the Rfam family "Bacterial small subunit ribosomal RNA", at positions 524 to 776 of the family's 1533-position model. The record is from RNAcentral.
UACGUAGGUGGCAAGCGUUAUCCGGAUUUACUGGGUGUAAAGGGCGAGUAGGCGGGAUUGCAAGUCAGAUGUGAAAACUAUGGGCUCAACCGAUAGAGUGCAUUUGAAACUGCAGUUCUUGAGUGAUGGAGAGGCAGGCGGAAUUCCCGGUGUAGCGGUGGAAUGCGUAGAUAUCGGGAGGAACACCAGUGGCGAAGGCGGCCUGCUGGACAUUAACUGACGCUGAGGCGCGAAAGCGUGGGGAUCAAACAGG